RNAcentral lists this small nuclear RNA (329 nucleotides) under Sus scrofa (pig). Its description in RNAcentral is "7SK RNA". It matches the Rfam family "7SK RNA". Rfam says of the family: 7SK was discovered as an abundant small nuclear RNA in the mid-70s but a possible function has only recently been suggested. Two independent studies have found that 7SK RNA binds the CDK9/cyclin T complex (known as elongation factor P-TEFb). P-TEFb activates transcription by phosphorylating the C-terminal domain of RNA polymerase II. Lineage: Eukaryota; Metazoa; Chordata; Mammalia; Artiodactyla; Suidae. The record is from Rfam by way of RNAcentral.
UUAGGUAGGGGAUUUGGCUGUGACAUCUCUCAUUCCACUGACCUCCAUGGUUGACUCGGCUGGUCUGAUAGCUAGGCUAAUGUCCCCUUCCUGCUUCACUACUGCAUGUAUGUUCCCUGCCAUAGCUGCAGCAUGCUGUUGAAGAGAACAGGUUUCUUGAUGGAAGAUCAUUCCUUGGUCAUUCUUUAAGGUAUACCAGUAGCUAUGCUCCCCUGCUAGAACUCCACACAAGCUCUAUAAGAUCCACUUGUAGGAGAAUUUAAGGUAGUCAAGCUUCUCAACUCCCAACAUAGCCAAAUGAGGCACUUCUUGCCGCCAUGUCUUUCUUU